GUCUACCAUGCAGUCGAGCGGAUGAAGGGAGCUUGCUCCCUGAUUUAGCGGCGGACGGGUGAGUAAUGCCUAGGAAUCUGCCUGGUAGUGGGGGAUAACGUUCCGAAAGGAACGCUAAUACCGCAUACGUCCUACGGGAGAAAGCAGGGGACCUUCGGGCCUUGCGCUAUCAGAUGAGCCUAGGUCGGAUUAGCUAGUUGGUGAGGUAAUGGCUCACCAAGGCGACGAUCCGUAACUGGUCUGAGAGGAUGAUCAGUCACACUGGAACUGAGACACGGUCCA
This 282-nucleotide ribosomal RNA is filed under the name Ectopseudomonas mendocina. RNAcentral describes it as "Pseudomonas mendocina partial 16S ribosomal RNA". It matches the Rfam family "Bacterial small subunit ribosomal RNA", at positions 54 to 333 of the family's 1533-position model. The record is from RNAcentral. Lineage: Bacteria; Pseudomonadati; Pseudomonadota; Gammaproteobacteria; Pseudomonadales; Pseudomonadaceae.